RNAcentral lists this ribosomal RNA (335 nucleotides) under uncultured bacterium. Its description in RNAcentral is "bacterial SSU rRNA". It matches the Rfam family "Bacterial small subunit ribosomal RNA", at positions 335 to 672 of the family's 1533-position model. The record is from RNAcentral.
ACUCCUACGGGAGGCAGCAGUAAGGAAUAUUGCGCAAUGGGCGACAGCCUGACGCAGCGACGCCGCGUGGGGGAUGAAGGUCUUCGGAUUGUAAACCCCUUUCGGCAGGGAAGAUGGAACGGGCAACCGCUCGGACGGUACCUGCAGAAGCAGCCACGGCUAACUUCGUGCCAGCAGCCGCGGUAAUACGAAGGUGGCAAGCGUUGUUCGGAUUUACUGGGCGUACAGGGAGCGUAGGCGGUUGGGUAAGCCCUCCGUGAAAUCUCCGGGCCUAACCCGGAAAGUGCGGAGGGGACUGCUCGGCUAGAGGAUGGGAGAGGAGCGCGGAAUUCCCG